Molecule: long non-coding RNA, 1154 nt
Filed under: Chelydra serpentina (North American snapping turtle)
Lineage: Eukaryota; Metazoa; Chordata; Testudines; Chelydridae
Description: lncRNA (ENSCSRG00000007849.1)
Source: RNAcentral
CGGUAUCAUUGGCUGCGGGGCGCUGUUCCUGGGGCGGCUGCAUGCAAGUGGGGAGGAGCUACAUAGAAAGCGGUGUGAAUCCCACCAUCUCGAGCACGGCCUCCUCCUGGGCUUUUAAAUGGGCGAAAUAAAACGAAGGCCAGGCUAGGAGGAAAGCCAGCAUGAUGCUUUCCAAAUGGGAGUGUUUGGGGUUCACUCCGGAGACCGAGAGAGAGAGGCUACAUGUAUAGAGCUGAUAUCGCAGGGAUAAGCCUCUAAUCCUGGAAUGAAGGCAGAUUAAAAACGUCUGUUAUAGUUCUGGUAGAUGGUCCUUGGCAGACGUGCUGAUGUCUCUAGUUCCUGGAGGAAUCUGUCCAUCAGCCAGCAAGUGACUCAAAGAUCUCCACAGCAAGGCCAAGGUUAUGCUAACCAGUGCUGCAGCUGUAGUUCUGUGUGCAAGUGGUCCAGUCGCUCUCUGCCAGCCCUUCGCAGCCUUUUCUCCAGAACAUCCAUUCCCCACCCCUGGCUAAACCUCAUCACAGAGCACAUCUCACACCCUUUGGCUUAUCUUGACCUAGAAACUCCACGGAUAUUUUGUUCUAAAAGGAUGCUUGACAAAACCAGCUAUUCUUCACUGCAAACAACAUUAGGGCUUCUUUAAAUGUGUGAUAUUCAGACAGGAAGAAGAGUCUCAAAAAACACUUUCUAAUGUGGGUUUCAUACCCGUUCUCUGGCCUACACAGACUCUUUUGAAUUAAUGUCUUAAAAUAGGUUCAGCUCCUGAGGAUUUUUUUUUUUGGGGGUAAUGUACCCAGGAGUUGUAACGUAGACACAACUUGAUGUUCAAAGUACUGUUUGUGAGGGAGUCUAUUUUUAUAAGAUUAGGGCUUAUUUGAGGAUGAAUUAAAAAUAGCCUUGCAAGUUUCUCCGGGCUUUAUCUCUCAUGCCCAGUUGCACCAUAUGAGAUGGAGGAAAUUCCUGCAGGCUGCAAAUAAACCUAUAAUCAUUUAAUCUGUAACGGGUUACUGUGAAAUCCAAAGAGAAAACGUCUUUCGUAUAGUUGCACAGCACUUACAGUCACUCAGAAUUUCCAAGCCCUAGUGUAGAAUCAGAAAAUUUAAAAGGAAAGUAGAUCAGCGGCGUGCUGGCCUGGAAUAGUGCUUUGAGCCGCCGGG